CGUGGCGAUCGUCAGUGGUUCUCCUAACGAUUAGCGUGGCCAAGCUGGUCUCUUCUCCAAACACGCAUUGCACCUUCGUCAACACAUCAUCAAGAUGAAGCUCAUUCUUAUUCCAUUGAUCUCUCCAUUUCAAAGCUAAAUCAAUCUCUCAAUCUGAUUGACAAUCCUGGAGUUAGGGUUUUGGCUACCGCUCCCUCCUUCAUGUGUGCGUCACUGCGCCACAGGUUUUUGAUUCUGUGAUUGAGAAUUUGGUCAUAACGAUUGUUAGUGUUCUGUCUUCUUCAAUAAGUUGUAGAGUGUUGAAAUUUGAGAAAGAAGAGGUUUUGCGGACUGGCAGGUCCAUUUGCCAGCGGGAUUGCGUGGAAUUCAUUGAAGUUGUUAUUGAUGUUCUAUCAAAAUUGGAUGAACAUGGGAUGCCUCUCAUUUGCUAUUAUGUGCUGCUGCUAGAGUCAUGGUUUCGGCAUCCUGCUCUGGAUAUUUGGUCCCAUCAAUGCAUGUUUUGGAUGUUAAAUCAAUUAGUAGAAAAGAAGCAAUGCUAUCACAAACUUCAUCUGCCGCUUGCCCAGAGAAUUCUCCCUUAACGACAGUGAACUACCACUGAGGUUGCUGUCAUCGUAUCUUGACGCACUAACACUAAAACAUGAUUUUUCUAAUAUCUUGGAAGACACCAUGAAAAGACCUUCCCUUUCUUUGAGCAAGGGAUUUUAUGAGAGGAUGGAAUGGUGCUGGUGUUGACGGCCCUGUCUGGAACCCUCUCAUCUUCAAGUUUUCAGCAAUUAGUUUACGGUAAAUAAGCAAUUCAGUUUGUCUUGUCAAGAAACAAUUUGGCCCGACUUCUAUGCCAUCUGCAAUGAAGGUUAUAUCUAGUGAUUCCAAAUCUAUCUGGUAUAUUCUUACUCCAUGUGAAUGGCAAAUGUUAGCAUAAUUACAGCAAUUAACAUGAUUAUAGAAAAUUUGUGUAGCAUAAUUACAAUAAUUAUUAUAGAAGAUUUGUGUAGCAUAAUUACAGCAAUUAUUAUUCUUGUCUAAAUUAGCUCAUAUUCUCAUGCAUAAAUAGAUGAAAUAUCUCUGUAAAUAAAACACAGACAAAUACACAAUCCUUUCCUUCAUUACUUGUAUUUUUUCUUCUAAUAGCAAAAAACCUCUUUGGCAAUUAGUAUGCCUUCAUCCUACUUCCAAUAUGUAUUUGAAAUGUUGCUUGGCAGGGUUCUCACAAUCUGCUUUCCAGCUUGGUUUUAUUUUGCUUCAGUUUCACUCUUCUCCAACAAUUGUUUUCAAAGAAUUGUCAAUUGAAGUGCACAUUAGGGAUACCCAAUUUUAGACAAACAAGUGAAAUGGGAUGACCUGCUGCCGCUAGGUACUUAACACGUUGCUUGGAUUUUGAGCCCCGAUAACAAAUCUCAUCAGGAUCUGCUGUUUGAGAUUUUGACUAAAAUAUCGAGUGUUGGUCUUUGAAACAAAUAGACUCAGCUAUUCAUGAGAGGUAUAGUUGACUACAGAUCCGAAUGCUGUGACACUAAGGAAGAUUUUGGUCUUGGAAACAAGUAUUAUUGUCAAGUCAUCUGACUUCAGCUCAAAGAAUUUUUAAGUAUCACGAAUUACAGUGAUGAAUCAACUCGACAUCCUGCGAGGGAAAAACAUAUAUUUUUUUGGGCAAAACAGUAUGCUUCUCUGGAAAAUCCCAUUAGGUAAUUUGAUUGGUUGUCCUAGUUAUGUAAAGGUUGCUUCAUUUAACGGAAGAUGGACUUGAACUGUUGUUUCAUUAUGUUGCAACUGGUAGGUUGCUUCAUUUCAUAAGUAAGAAUUCUAAAAUGAAACAUGUGGAAAAUUCUGAGGGGCAAAAAAUCUUUCUACGAAGUAAUAAAUUUAAUAAAAAGGAAGCUGUUGCAGGUGCCUGUCUAGUCUUCAGUUUAACUGAUGUUGUCGAGAGGCUGUUCUCUUCAUUAUUUGAGAAUGGAAAAAGUGGACUGGGUAUUAUUUUCCUGGUAAAAUUGUGGGCAAGCAGGCAUUUGAUAACGUGCAUCAAGAGCCUGAUCCAGCCCAAUAUUGUUGAAGAUGUAAAUGUGUUGCUGGUGGAUCUCCAUAGCAGAUUGGAGCGAUGGCAGUGUCAAGGGCAAGAAAUAUAAAAACUAGACAAAGAUCUUUAGAAUUUGACAAUGAACUGGUUACUUUAGAAUUUUUGUUCAUGGAUUUUUUGGUUGAACAAUUGCACACAUGCACACGUGUGCGCUAGCACACACAAAUACACAGAUAACAAUUAUUUUUUGUUUUUCUGUUGUUUCUGGAUUAUUGUUAACAACUGAUAGUACGUUUUAGUACAAUAAGUAUGACUGCAACAUUUGUACAAUUUA
This is a long non-coding RNA of Hevea brasiliensis (rubber tree), 2351 nucleotides long. RefSeq lists it as uncharacterized. The record is from RefSeq and is a predicted model, not a curated record. Lineage: Eukaryota; Viridiplantae; Streptophyta; Magnoliopsida; Malpighiales; Euphorbiaceae. The transcript has 4 exons.